Molecule: ribosomal RNA, 466 nt
Filed under: uncultured bacterium
Lineage: Bacteria
Description: partial 16S ribosomal RNA
Rfam family: Bacterial small subunit ribosomal RNA
Source: RNAcentral
CUACGGGGGGCUCCAGUGGGGAAUAUUGGACAAUGGGGGAAACCCUGAUCCAGCAAUGCCGCGUGUGUGAAGAAGGCCUGCGGGUUGUAAAGCACUUUCGGUUGGGAGGACUGCUUCUAGCACUAAUAUUGUUGGAAGUUGACGUUACCUUCAGAAGAAGCACCGGCUAACUCCGUGCCAGCAGCCGCGGUGAAUACGGAGGGUGCAAGCGUUAAUCGGAAUUACUGGGCGUAAGGCGCGCGUAGGCGGCUAGAUCAGUCGGGUGUGAAAGCCCCGGGCUUAACCUGGGAACUGCAUCCGAUACUGGCUAGAUUGAGUACAGGAGAGGAGAGUUGAAUUCCACAUGUAGCGGUGAAAUGCGUAGAUAUGUGGAGGAACACCAAUGGCGAAGGCAGCUCUCUGGCCUGAUACUGACGCUGAGGUGCGAAAGCGUGGGGAGCAAACAGGAUUAGAUACCCGUGUAGUC